Molecule: ribosomal RNA, 423 nt
Filed under: uncultured bacterium
Lineage: Bacteria
Description: bacterial SSU rRNA
Rfam family: Bacterial small subunit ribosomal RNA
Source: RNAcentral
AAGACCUUGCGCUUUUGGAGCGGCCGAKGUCUGAUUAGCUUGUUGGUGAGGUAAAAGCUUACCAAGGCUUCGAUCAGUAGCUGGUCUGAGAGGACGGCCAGCCACACUGGGACUGAGACACGGCCCAGACUCCUACGGGAGGCAGCAGUGGGGAAUUUUGGACAAUGGGGGCAACCCUGAUCCAGCCAUGCCGCGUGAGUGAAGAAGGCCUUCGGGUUGUAAAGCUCUUUCAGCCGGAACGAAACGGUUACGGUUAAUACCCGUGACUACUGACGGUACCGGAAGAAGAAGCACCGGCUAACUACGUGCCAGCAGCCGCGGUAAUACGUAGGGUGCAAGCGUUAAUCGGAAUUACUGGGCGUAAAGCGUGCGCAGGUGGUUUUGUAAGUCAGAUGUGAAAUCCCCGGGCUUAACCUGGGAACU